RNAcentral lists this long non-coding RNA (238 nucleotides) under Mesocricetus auratus (golden hamster). RNAcentral's name for it is "RNase MRP (ENSMAUG00000004664.1)". The record is from RNAcentral. Lineage: Eukaryota; Metazoa; Chordata; Mammalia; Rodentia; Cricetidae.
UACAGUUCUGUCUGAAAGCCAGUUUCCUAGCCUAUGUAUGAGGGAUGUGUUCCUUACCCUUCUGCCUAGGGGAAAGUCCCUGGACCAUGGGAAUAGAGUGCAGCAUACACACAUGCAUAGACUUCCCCUGCAAAUCACUGUUAGUUCCCUAAAAAGCAAUACCCCUGGGGCCAGCCAAGUAGGAAGCAGUGUUCCUCCUGCACACCAAUCACACAAGGCUCAUUCUCAGUGCCACUGC